This 612-nucleotide ribosomal RNA is filed under the name uncultured Acidobacteriota bacterium. RNAcentral's name for it is "bacterial SSU rRNA". It matches the Rfam family "Bacterial small subunit ribosomal RNA", at positions 8 to 652 of the family's 1533-position model. Lineage: Bacteria; Pseudomonadati; Acidobacteriota. The record is from RNAcentral.
AGAGUUUGAUCCUGGCUCAGAAUCAACGCUGGCGGCGUGCCUAACACAUGCAAGUCGAACGAGAAAGUGGAGCAAUCCAUGAGUAAAGUGGCGACCGGGUGAGUAACACGUGACUAACCUACCUUCGAGUGGGGGAUAACCUCGGGAAACCGAGGCUAAUACCGCAUAACAUCGCAAGAUCAAAGCAGCAAUGCGCUGGAAGAGGGGGUCGCGGCUGAUUAGCUAGUUGGCGGGGUAACGGCCCACCAAGGCGAAGAUCGGUAGCCGGCCUGAGAGGGCGCACGGCCACACUGGAACUGAAACACGGUCCAGACUCCUACGGGAGGCAGCAGUGGGGAAUUUUGCGCAAUGGGGGAAACCCUGACGCAGCAACGCCGCGUGGAGGAUGAAGCCCCUUGGGGCGUAAACUCCUUUCGACCAAGACGAUGAUGACGGUACUGGUGGAAGAAGCACCGGCUAACUCUGAGCCAGCAGCCGCGGUAAUACAGAGGGUGCGAGCGUUGUUCGGAAUUAUUGGGCGUAAAGGGCGCGUAGGCGGUGCGGUAAGUCACCUGUGAAAUCUCCGGGUUUAACUCGGAGCCUGCAGGCCAAACUGCCGUGCUGGAGUAUGGG